UUGGAGGGCAAGUCUGGUGCCAGCAGCCGCGGUAAUUCCAGCUCCAAUAGCGUAUAUUAAAGUUGUUGCAGUUAAAAAGCUCGUAGUUGAAUUUCGGGAUUAGUACGCUGGUCGUGCCUUCGGUACGUACUGGUGUUACUGAUUUCUACCUUCUGACGAACCAUCAUGUCAUUAAUUUGGUGUGGUGGGGAAUCAGGACUGUUACUUUGAAAAAAUUAGAGUGUUUAAAGCAGGCUCGCGCUUGAAUACAUUAGCAUGGAAUAAUGAAAUAGGACGUUGAUCCUAUUUUGUUGGUUUCUAGGAUUGACGUAAUGAUUAAUAGGGAUAGUUGGGGGCAUUAGUAUUCAAUUGUCAGAGGUGAAAUUCUUGGAUUUAUUGAAGACUAACUACUGCGAAAGCAUUUGCCAAGGAUGUUUUCAUUAAUCAAGAACGAAAGUUAGGGGAUCGAAGACGAUCAGAUACCGUCGUAGUCUUAACCAUAAACUAUGCCGACUAGGGAUCGGAUGAUGUUAUUUUUAAUGACUUAUUCGGCGCCUUACGGGAAAC
RNAcentral lists this ribosomal RNA (546 nucleotides) under uncultured Glomeromycotina. RNAcentral describes it as "SSU rRNA". It matches the Rfam family "Eukaryotic small subunit ribosomal RNA", at positions 548 to 1098 of the family's 1831-position model. Lineage: Eukaryota; Fungi; Glomeromycota. The record is from RNAcentral.